UAGUUAUUGUUUAUUGAGAGUUGUGUGUGUGUGUUUUGACAGAGGAAGUCUGUGAUUAUAAGAAUUUUGUGAAUUCAGAUUGGUUGGAGCGAAGUCUGUUAUAUUUGGUGUUGGAUGGAAUUUAUUGAGUUUUGAGAGGUCUUUUGAGAGUGCAAGGUUGUACAUUGUGAUUAUGAGUUGAUGAAGGAGUAUUGUUACUGGAAGGAAGCAUUGUAGUAUUUCUUAGUGUUUUAGUGGUUCAGAAUACAAUUAAUUGUGUGAUCCUAACAAAUAAAAUUCAUGCACUUAGUCUUUUCUUGUGUUCAAAUUUUCUUAUACAGGUUUAUUUUGGAAGGAAUUGUAGAAUAAGUAAAACAACAAUCACAUUUUUGGCACCGCUGCCAAGGAUUGACAAUAGCAUUGAGUGUUAGAAAUUAACUGUUGGAUGAAUAGAUGGAAAAUAGGAAGCAAAUUUAGUAGUAUAUAAUGAAAGAUUAUGGUAAUUGUAGAAUAAGUAGUUAUUUUCAGAAUGUAGAUACCUAGUAUAUAGUAUAAACAAGGAUAGAUAACUGCUGAAAAGGUGGUUCUAUAUGUAGAAUAGAUGAAUAGUCAAGAAAAGUAGUUAUCAUCUGUAGUAUAGGAAUUGGUAUCUCA
This 633-nucleotide long non-coding RNA is filed under the name Physcomitrium patens. Its description in RNAcentral is "long non-coding RNA (PPAT_LNC008720)". Lineage: Eukaryota; Viridiplantae; Streptophyta; Bryopsida; Funariales; Funariaceae. The record is from RNAcentral.